UACAGCGGGGGCAAGCGUUGUUCGGAAUUACUGGGCGUAAAGGGCGCGUAGGCGGCCUGUUAAGUCGAACGUGAAAUCCCCGGGCUCAACCCGGGAACUGCGUCCGAUACUGGCAGGCUUGAAUCCGGGAGAGGGAUGCGGAAUUCCAGGUGUAGCGGUGAAAUGCGUAGAUAUCUGGAGGAACACCGGUGGCGAAGGCGGCAUCCUGGACCGGCAUUGACGCUGAGGCGCGAAAGCCAGGGGAGCAAACGGG
This 253-nucleotide ribosomal RNA is filed under the name uncultured bacterium. RNAcentral's name for it is "partial 16S ribosomal RNA". It matches the Rfam family "Bacterial small subunit ribosomal RNA", at positions 524 to 776 of the family's 1533-position model. The record is from RNAcentral.